GACGAACGCUGGCGGCGUGCUUAAAACAUGCAAGUCGAACGGAAAGGCCCUGCUUUUGUGGGGUGCUCGAGUGGCGAACGGGUGAGUAACACGUGAGUAACCUUCCCUUGACUUUGGGAUAACUUCAGGAAACUGGGGCUAAUACCUGAUAGGAGCUCCUGCUGCAUGGUGGGGGUUGGAAAGUUUCGGCGGUUGGGGAUGGACUCGCGGCUUAUCAGCUUGUUGGUGGGGUAGUGGCUUACCAAGGCUUUGACGGGUAGCCGGCCUGAGAGGGUGACCGGCCAAAUGGGGACUGAGAUACGGCCCAGACUCCUACGGGAGGCAGCAGUGGGGAAUAUUGCACAAUGGGCGGAAGCCUGAUGCAGAAACGCCGCGUGCGGGAUGACGGCCUUCGGGUUGUAAACCGCUUUCGCCUGUGACGAAGCGUGAGUGACGGUAAUGGGUAAAGAAGCACCGGCUAACUACGUG
RNAcentral lists this ribosomal RNA (468 nucleotides) under uncultured bacterium. RNAcentral describes it as "partial 16S ribosomal RNA". It matches the Rfam family "Bacterial small subunit ribosomal RNA", at positions 28 to 507 of the family's 1533-position model. The record is from RNAcentral.